Molecule: non-coding RNA, 115 nt
Organism: Triticum aestivum (bread wheat)
Lineage: Eukaryota; Viridiplantae; Streptophyta; Magnoliopsida; Poales; Poaceae
Source: Rfam
CAAGUACUCCCUCCGUCCGGAAUUACUUGUCAUCAAAACUGAUGUGUCUAGAACAAAAAUACAUCUAGAUACAUCCAUUUCAAUGACAAGUAUUUUCGGACGGAGGGAGUACAAG